ACAGGUGCUGCAUGGCUGUCGUCAGCUCGUGUUGUGAAAUGUUGGGUUAAGUCCCGCAACGAGCGCAACCCUUAUCCUUUGUUGCCAGCGGUCCGGCCGGGAACUCAAAGGAGACUGCCAGUGAUAAACUGGAGGAAGGUGGGGAUGACGUCAAGUCAUCAUGGCCCUUACGACCAGGGCUACACACGUGCUACAAUGGCGCAUACAAAGAGAAGCGACCUCGCGAGAGCAAGCGGACCUCAUAAAGUGCGUCGUAGUCCGGAUUGGAGUCUGCAACUCGACUCCAUGAAGUCGGAAUCGCUAGUAAUCGUGGAUCAGAAUGCCACGGUGAAUACGUUCCCGGGCCUUGUACACACCGCCCGUCACACCAUGGGAGUGGGUUGCAAAAGAAGUAGGUAGCUUAACCUUCGGGAGGGCGCUUACC
RNAcentral lists this ribosomal RNA (424 nucleotides) under Escherichia coli. RNAcentral's name for it is "bacterial SSU rRNA". It matches the Rfam family "Bacterial small subunit ribosomal RNA", at positions 1034 to 1458 of the family's 1533-position model. Lineage: Bacteria; Pseudomonadati; Pseudomonadota; Gammaproteobacteria; Enterobacterales; Enterobacteriaceae. The record is from RNAcentral.